UGAAACUCUGUCAGAAAACACCCUGGCUGGCUGGGUUUAAAAGUCAGCUCUCCUCCUGUCAGCCACAUUACUCUAAUUUGGGCUGGAGGUUAAAUACAAUUGAUCGUUUAGGUGCAUAUUCUACCACAAUGCACAAAGGAAAACUAAGCCACUUCAUUCAGUCCAAGACCCUACCGGGUUAAUGAAAUGUUCUUAAAAUAAACAGCUCACCUGUGUGUUUGCUAGCUGAAUAAUCAAUGGUAUGAUACUGUUUUGAGAAUAUAGCCUGGAAAUAAGUGGGCAGAGUUGACAAUUAAGUUCUGUAGGUAAAAUUAUAUCUGCCUAUUUGUAUGCUUUCAAACAAAAAUUAAAAUGCUCAUCGUUGCUUUUGGAAGAGAAGAGACAGUUCAUCAGUACCUCAGGUGGCUCCUUUGUCUCCCAAAGCAUCUCAACCCUCAUUGUACCUUGAAGCACCCUUGCAGUGACACAGCAUCAUGGGCCACCAGGAAACAGAAGCCUUACAAAGUAGCAGCAACCAACUGUUGUGUUUCUGACCCCAGUGAACUGCAACAAGAAAGGGUUUUUGUGUGGGCCUCAGGAGUGAGAAAUAAUCACACCAUAAAUUUACAAGCUCUUAAGCAUUGUUUUAAGAACAGAAAGAUGCACCAGUUUUGGUGCAAAAUGUUCCUUUUUGAGGUAAAAGCAGAAUUUUUUGUGGAAAAGGGUACUAUCAGAUAA
Molecule: long non-coding RNA, 717 nt
Filed under: Cyanistes caeruleus (blue tit)
Lineage: Eukaryota; Metazoa; Chordata; Aves; Passeriformes; Paridae
Description: lncRNA (ENSCCEG00000019217.1)
Source: RNAcentral